GACUCCAUGAAGCUGGAUUCGCUAGUAAUCGCGCAUCAGCCACGGCGCGGUGAAUAACGUUUCCCGGGCCUUGUACACACCGCCCGUCAAGCCAUGGAAGCCGGGAGUGCCUGAAGUGCGUGAGCGCAAGCAGCGCCCUAAGGUAAAACCGGUGACUGGGGCUAAGUCGUAACAAGGUACC
RNAcentral lists this ribosomal RNA (181 nucleotides) under uncultured bacterium. Its description in RNAcentral is "partial 16S ribosomal RNA". It matches the Rfam family "Bacterial small subunit ribosomal RNA", at positions 1314 to 1500 of the family's 1533-position model. The record is from RNAcentral.